RNAcentral lists this ribosomal RNA (472 nucleotides) under uncultured bacterium. RNAcentral describes it as "bacterial SSU rRNA". It matches the Rfam family "Bacterial small subunit ribosomal RNA", at positions 8 to 526 of the family's 1533-position model. The record is from RNAcentral.
AGGGUUUGAUUAUGGCUCAGAACGAACGCUGGCGGCAGGCCUAAUACAUGCAAGUCGAGCGCGCCCUUCGGGGUGAGCGGCGGACGGGUGAGUAACGCGUGGGAAUAUGCCCUUCUCUAAGGAAUAGCCUCUGGAAACGGAGAGUAAUACCUUAUACGCCCUUUUGGGGAAAGAUUUAUCGGAGAAGGAUUAGCCCGCGUUAGAUUAGGUAGUUGGUGGGGUAAUGGCCUACCAAGCCUACGAUCUAUAGCUGGUUUGAGAGGAUGAUCAGCCACACUGGGACUGAGACACGGCCCAGACUCCUACGGGAGGCAGCAGUAGGGAAUCUUAGACAAUGGGGGCAACCCUGAUCUAGCCAUGCCGCGUGUGUGAUGAAGGCCCUAGGGUCGUAAAGCACUUUCGCCAGAGAUGAUAAUGACAGUAUCUGGUAAAGAAACCCCGGCUAACUCCGUGCCAGCAGCCGCGGUAAUAC